RNAcentral lists this ribosomal RNA (797 nucleotides) under uncultured bacterium. RNAcentral describes it as "bacterial SSU rRNA". It matches the Rfam family "Bacterial small subunit ribosomal RNA", at positions 9 to 748 of the family's 1533-position model. The record is from RNAcentral.
GAGUUUGAUCCUGGCUCAGAUUGAACGCUGGCGGAAUGCUUUACACAUGCAAGUCGAACGGCAGCACGGGAGCUUGCUCCUGGUGGCGAGUGGCGAACGGGUGAGUAAUACAUCGGAACAUGCCUAGUCGUGGGGGAUACCGUAGCGAAAGUUACGUUAAUACCGCAUACGUCCUGAGGGAGAAAGCAGGGGAUCGAUCACUGAGCGCAUUGACGCAGUCAAUAAAGCUGCUUAGUGCAUUGAGUGAUCGACCUUGCGCGAUUAGAGUGGCCGAUGCCUGAUUAGCUAGUUGGUGAGGUAAUGGCUCACCAAGGCGACGAUCAGUAGCGGGUCUGAGAGGAUGAUCCGCCACACUGGAACUGAGACACGGUCCAGACUCCUACGGGAGGCAGCAGUGGGGAAUUUUGGACAAUGGGGGGCAACCCUGAUCCAGCCAUUCCGCGUGAGUGAAGAAGGCCUUCGGGUUGUAAAGCUCUUUCAGCGGGAACGAAACGGUGCACUCUAACAUAGCGUAUUAAUGACGGUACCUGCAGAAGAAGCACCGGCUAACUACGUGCCAGCAGCCGCGGUAAUACGUAGGGUGCGAGCGUUAAUCGGAAUUACUGGGCGUAAAGCGUGCGCAGGCGGCUUUUUAAGCCAGACGUGAAAUCCCCGGGCUUAACCUGGGAAUGGCGUUUGGAACUGGAAGGCUAGAGUGUGUCAGAGGGGGGUAGAAUUCCACGUGUAGCAGUGAAAUGCGUAGAGAUGUGGAGGAAUACCGAUGGCGAAGGCAGCCCCCUGGGAUAACACUGACGCUC